RNAcentral lists this ribosomal RNA (423 nucleotides) under uncultured bacterium. RNAcentral's name for it is "bacterial SSU rRNA". It matches the Rfam family "Bacterial small subunit ribosomal RNA", at positions 207 to 622 of the family's 1533-position model. The record is from RNAcentral.
AAGACCUUGCGCUUUUGGAGCGGCCGAUGUCUGAUUAGCUAGUUGGUAGGGUAAUGGCCUACCAAAGCUUCGAUCAGUAGCUGGUCUGAGAGGACGACCAGCCACACUGGGACUGAGACACGGCCCAGACUCCUACGGGAGGCAGCAGUGGGGAAUUUUGGACAAUGGGCGCAAGCCUGAUCCAGCCAUGCCGCGUGAGUGAAGAAGGCCUUCGGGUUGUAAAGCUCUUUCAGCCGGGAAGAAAAGGCUACGACGAAUAAUCGUAGCUCAUGACGGUACCGGAAGAAGAAGCACCGGCUAACUACGUGCCAGCAGCCGCGGUAAUACGUAGGGUGCGAGCGCUAAUCGGAAUUACUGGGCGUAAAGGGUGCGCAGGCGGUUUUGUAAGUCAGAUGUGAAAUCCCCGGGCUUAACCUGGGAACU